RNAcentral lists this ribosomal RNA (482 nucleotides) under uncultured bacterium. RNAcentral's name for it is "partial 16S ribosomal RNA". It matches the Rfam family "Bacterial small subunit ribosomal RNA", at positions 30 to 507 of the family's 1533-position model. The record is from RNAcentral.
AUUGAACGCUGGCGGCAUGCCUUACACAUGCAAGUCGAACGGUAACGGGCCUUCGGGUGCCGACGAGUGGCGAACGGGUGAGUAAUACAUCGGAACGUGCCCGAUCGUGGGGUAUAACGAGGCGAAAGCUUUGCUAAUACCGCAUACGAUCUACGGAUGAAAGCAGGGGACCGCAAGGCCUUGCGCGGACGGAGCGGCCGAUGGCAGCUUAGGUAGUUGGUGGGAUAAAAGCUUACCAAGCCGACGAUCUGUAGCUGGUCUGAGAGGAUGAUCAGCCACACUGGGACUGAGACACGGCCCAGACUCCUACGGGAGGCAGCAGUGGGGAAUGUUGGACAAUGGGCGCAAGCCUGAUCCAGCCAUGCCGCGUGCAGGAUGAAGGCCUUCGGGUUGUAAACUGCUUUUGUACGGAACGAAAAGCCUUCUUUUAAUACAGGAGGGUCAUGACGGUACCGUAAGAAUAAGCACCGGCUAACUACGUG